RNAcentral lists this ribosomal RNA (428 nucleotides) under Bacteroidota bacterium. RNAcentral describes it as "Bacteroidetes bacterium partial 16S ribosomal RNA". It matches the Rfam family "Bacterial small subunit ribosomal RNA", at positions 355 to 776 of the family's 1533-position model. Lineage: Bacteria; Pseudomonadati; Bacteroidota. The record is from RNAcentral.
UAGGGAAUCUUCCGCAAUGGACGCAAGUCUGACGGAGCAACGCCGCGUGAGUGAUGAAGGUCUUCGGAUCGUAAAACUCUGUUAUUAGGGAAGAACAAAUGUGUAAGUAACUAUGCACGUCUUGACGGUACCUAAUCAGAAAGCCACGGCUAACUACGUGCCAGCAGCCGCGGUAAUACGUAGGUGGCAAGCGUUAUCCGGAAUUAUUGGGCGUAAAGCGAGCGCAGGCGGUUAGAAAAGUCUGAAGUGAAAGGCAGUGGCUCAACCAUUGUAGGCUUUGGAAACUGUUUAACUUGAGUGCAGAAGGGGAGAGUGGAAUUCCAUGUGUAGCGGUGAAAUGCGUAGAUAUAUGGAGGAACACCGGUGGCGAAAGCGGCUCUCUGGUCUGUAACUGACGCUGAGGCUCGAAAGCGUGGGGAGCGAACAGG